Molecule: RNA transcript, 2922 nt
Organism: Nerophis ophidion (straightnose pipefish)
Lineage: Eukaryota; Metazoa; Chordata; Actinopteri; Syngnathiformes; Syngnathidae
Gene: st3gal7
Gene name: ST3 beta-galactoside alpha-2,3-sialyltransferase 7
Exons: 8
Source: RefSeq, a predicted model, not a curated record
AAGCAUGCAGGUAUCAUUUUACAUGACACACAAUAAGCUUAAUAGUCAUUUGUCUGGAAAACAUUUCCACCGACAACGUCCAGGCCUCGACUAGUUAAUGUGUAAGCCGUGCAAGGAAGACUCGGGUGAGGUAAUCUGACAGCAGCGGCCAUUUUAGCCACACUGGACAUCGAUGCCGUCUUUUUUCCCCCCCAUCAUGCAGCGUUACGUGACGGACUGUACUUCACUCGCACGGCCAGCUAUAUUUAAACAGUCAAGGAAUUAAAGAUGACGACCACUUCUAAUCAGCGUGUGUUUGAGGUGAGGUUACCAUGGCGAUCCUGAACGGCUUGAGUGUAGAAGAAGGGACACACGGCAGGUCUGCGUUGCUGCCGGAGGCUGCAGAAGCUGCUGCGGCGGCGGCGCCUGCGGCUCACAAACAAGACGCCAAACAAAUGCAAUCAGAGCACUUUUUCCUCAGCAGAAGCGAGAACCUUAGCGUCAGUGUGGUUCUCCUAGUGGGAUGCUACUCUGCCAUUCUUCUUCCAGCAUAUUUCCCCCUGCAGAAACACUCUGUCAUUGAUGAGCAGGAUCCCAGACACCUGGACUUGUUGAACCGCUCGGCCUUCCACUUGUGGAGAGCGUGUCAGCCCCACUGGUGUGUGGACCGCCUGAAGUCUCUGCCCCGCUGCUCGGGCCUGAUGGACCUUCCAGUGUUUGUGCUGCGAGACGUCGGCUGGGACAUGCCUCCCCCCCUCGGCCUACGAGGGAGCGAAGAGCAUUUGGCUCAGGCCCUGGCCGCUCUGCCUCAGAGGGACCUGCCACCGUCGCUGAGGAGGAGUGGGCAGGGGUGCAGGCGUUGUGUGGUCGUGGGCAGUGGGGGGGUCCUGCUUGGGAGCCAUCUUGGAUCUCAUAUCGAUCAAUAUGAUGUUGUCAUCAGGAUGAACAACGCUCCAGUGCCGGGCUACGAGAGAGACGCUGGUUCUCACACCACCAUUCGCGUGACGUACCCAGAGGGAGCGCCCGGCUCUGCCGACGACUACAACAAGACCGACAUUGUUGCUCUCGCGGUCUUUAAGAGUCUGGACCUGGACUGGCUGACUUCUAUCAUCACUAAACAACCUCUGAGCUUGUGGUCCAAGCUGUGGUUCUGGAAGGAGGUGGUGAACUACAUUCCCCUGAGACCGGAGAACUUUCGGAUCCUCCACCCAGAGAUCAUUCGCAAGACUGCGGAAGUCCUGCAGAGAUACUCUGUGAAACAAGGAAAGAUGGUGCCCACACUGGGUGCUGGUGCUGUGGUGAUGGCUCUGCAGCUGUGUGACCACGUCAGCCUGGCAGGAUUUGGCUACGACAUGCAGCAUCCUCACUCUCCGCUCCACUACUACGAGACCAUACCAAUGGCUGCCAUGAAGGCUCAGGUGUGUUGACGCCAGUCUCUGAGAGAAGUCACAAAGCUGCAGCAGGACAGAAGCUCCGCUGAUCUCCGGUGGUGCAUGACGUCAGCGCUGAGAAGCUCUUCCUGAGGGAGCUGGUGGCUGCAGGAGCUGUGAAUGACCUCACGGGAGCGCUGUGACGUGGAUGGUCAACCCUGACACUAAGAUGAACUCAGUGUGCAGCCUUCUUCCAUCUUCUUGCCGUCAGCCUGUGGUGAUGCUAAUGUCCUACAUUCUCAGAGCGGGCCCGUGCAGCUGCUGGGAAGCAGCGAGGCCGACCUUUACCACACAACACCCUCGGGGAUUUGCUGGAGAAGUUAGUGAAUUUGACUACAAAAGGUUAGACAAGCUUUUGAGAUGGAUUUGACAGGAAGUUACAUCAUCAGUCCAUAUAAGGCAGGGGUCGGCAACCCACGGCUCCGGAGCCGCAUACUUGCCGACUCCCCCGAUUUUUCCGGGAGGCCUCCGGAUUUCAGUGCCUCUACCAGGGUAAGAUUUCUCCGAUUUUCAUCCUGACAAUAUUACAGAGGGCGUGCCAUGAUAGCAACGCCUUUAUCGUCCUCUAAAACAUGUCAUCGCGCUCGAUUUUACUUCAUGCUAUCUGCUAACGGCCUCUCAACCAUUUUAUCGUGACCGCUUUCAACCCCAUGCUAUCUGCGUGCCAGCCGGUCACAUGUAGUACGUGGCCUUUGUCGUAUACGUGUCAGUGACUGGAUGCCAUACUUGAUCAACAGCCAUACAGGUCACGCUGAAGGUUGUGAUAUAAACAACUUUAACACUCUUACUAAUAUGCGCCACACUGUCAACCCACACCAAACAAGGAUGAAAAACACAUUUUGGGAAAACAUCCGCACUGUAUCAAUCAAUCAAUCAAUGUUUACUUAUAUAGCCCUAAAUCACUAGUGUCUCAAAGGGCUGCACAAACCACCACGACAUCCUCGGUAGGCCCACAUAAGGGCAAGGAAAACUCACACCCAGUGGGAUGUCGGUGACAAUGAUGACUAUGAGAACCUUAGAGAGGAGGAAAGCAAUGGAUGUCGAACGGGUCUAACAUGAUACUGUGAAAGUUCAAUCCACAAUGGAUCCAACACAGUCGCGAGAGUCCAGUCCAAAGCGGAUCCAACACAGCAGCGAGAGUCCCGUUCACAGCGGAGCCAGCAGGAAACCAUCCCAAGCGGAGGCGGAUCAGCAGCGCAGAGAUGUCCCCAGCCGAUACACAGGCGAGCAGUACAUGGCCACCGGAUCGGACCGGACCCCCUCCACAAGGGAGAGUGGGACAUAGAAGAAAAAGAAAAGAAACAGCAGAUCAACUAGUCUAAAAAGGGAGUCUAUUUAAAGGCUAGAGUAUACAAAUGAGUUUUAAGGUGAGACUUAAAUGCUUCUACUGUAACACAACAUAAACAAAACAGAACAAAUACCCAGAAUCCCAUGCAUCCCUAACUCUUCCAGGCUACAUUUUACAAUCCUGCUACCACCAAACCCUGCCCACCUCUCCAACCCCGCCCACCUC